GAUGAACGCUGGCGGCGUGCUUAACACAUGCAAGUCGAACGAAGCGCUUAAACGGAUUUCUUCGGAUUGAAGCAAUUGUGACUGAGCGGGCGUACGGGCGAAGGUACGCCGUAGGUAACCUGCCUCAUACAGGGGGAUAACAGUUGGAAACGGCUGCUAAUACCGCAUAAGCGCACAGUACCGCAUGGUACGGUGUGAAAAACUCCGGUGGUAUGAGAUGGACCCGCGUCUGAUUAGGUAGUUGGUGGGGUAACGGCCUACCAAGCCGACGAUCCAGUAGCCGACCUGAGAGGGUGACCGGCCACAUUGGGGACUGAGACACGGGCCCAA
Molecule: ribosomal RNA, 330 nt
Filed under: uncultured bacterium
Lineage: Bacteria
Description: bacterial SSU rRNA
Rfam family: Bacterial small subunit ribosomal RNA
Source: RNAcentral